Athalia rosae (coleseed sawfly) is the source of this 1314-nucleotide long non-coding RNA. RefSeq lists it as uncharacterized. The transcript is spliced from 2 exons. The record is from RefSeq and is a predicted model, not a curated record. Lineage: Eukaryota; Metazoa; Arthropoda; Insecta; Hymenoptera; Athaliidae.
UUUAGAAAAUCUUUAUCAAACUAUAUCAGAUUUGAUUUUCAGAACGGACUGCAAUUUUCAUAUCUCAAUAGAUGUUCGAUAGUUUGUGGGAAACAAAUGAAAUGAAAUAACAUAACCUGAUGUAAAACCUCUAGGCAAGUAUUUCAUAGCAUUCAUGUGAAAAAAAGCUUUUAUCUGUGAGACAGAUUGGUGAUAGAUUAUUGUGUACAGAACGCAGAAAACCAAUCACUUAGCUCUACACAUAAGGGCAAAGUUUGUUACUUGAAUGAAGAAUGCUUUGGUUUUAUCAAUAAAUGAAUUUACGAAUGAAUGAAAAGUUGUAAUGAUACUCAACCAUUACAGAACGUUUGAUUAUUUCAAAAUAUUUAACUUUAGGAGAUACGAUAAAAUUUAUUCCGGAACAUUAUUUGUGAACAUUUUAUAAUGUGAUAAUAAAAUUGAAGAUCACCACGUGAAUAUUUAGAUUGGCGAAAAGCGCUUAAAUCAAAAGCGCUUUAUAAGGAUCUUGGAAUUUUCGGGCGUAUUUGGAAUUCUAUCCGCAGAGCGCCGUUGGAUGCAAACGGCUAAAUGCGGAAUAUCGAGCAUCGGUUCGGCAUACAAUAAUCAUGUCAGACCGCAAAAAUAGCGAAAUCAUUACAGUUGAGUAAACGUGACUAUUUCGCGGGCUUGGUCUUGACUCAAGUCGCUAGCGGAUAGGGCGUCGAAACUUGUAUGUAUUGGUUUUGAAAAAAAGACAAAUUAACUAACAAACCAAAUUCGAAUAUCUUCCCAGCUGUAGAUAAGAGAAAAUGAAAGUUGCAAUUAAUUCGACUCAGCUAUUUUGAAACAAACCCAGUAAUUAAGGAAGGAAUAAUUUUUUUCCACUGCGUCGGCAAGCCCGUAACAAUACAAAGGAAAUUUUCCGUCAGCCAUAUUGGCGUUGCCCUCCAAAGACGGUCGAACUCACCAUAAUGUAAUCACAAAAUUCUCCAAUGUAGAGAACAUUUUCGCUCGACUCUUUCAAGGACGCACACACUUCUAAACAUGGCGACGGCUCCCCGACAAAUUUCAUCGGAGCGCAAGCCAAGAUCCUCCUUGCUCGAACUCCUCGUACCUCUAUCACUGGAUUCGGGAAGCCGUCAGUAGAUGCUGCUGUGUCCGGGACCAAGCUCUCCCAUUGGCCGAUAGCGCUCAGACGCUCGGCAACGUGGCCUGAACUCUGCGUUUUCAUUGGCAAUUCAGACGUCCUGAACAACGCAGUACUUCCGGCAUUCUGAUCGAAUCAGCAACUUAUUUUUCUAAAUUCACGCUAUUGUAGAACAAUUAUGAACACGU